GUAAGGAACUAACUAAGAAAAGACGAGUGAAUUCGAAGUAAAAAUAUAUAUAAAUAUGAUCCGAUCAACGCCCCGUACACAACCGAAUGAAGUAGUUAGCUCAUAGAUUACUCGGCAUGCGCGCCACCUAGGCUUGGUAGUUUUUAGGGUCAACAUUUUGGCACGGCCACUGGGACACAGUGCUAAAACUACGAAGUUCACAUGAUAUAUCUCGAUCAGGCUUCAUGGGAUGAAUUUCAUCGCCUAUUAAAGGAGCAAAAACAAUGUUUCAAGAGAUGGGGUCGAAUUUUUGAAAGGCAAUAGGCCGGGGGGCAAAUUUCCACUUCGGCCACAAUCAAAAUUCAGCCUCAGCACAUUGUCAAGAUGACCGAAGAAACACCUUGGCCACCUGUUGUUUUGGUCAAGACUGCAAGUUCGGCUGGCCUAGAAGAAAAAGUUCAAGUUUCUAAGCUAAAAAUUGACUUGGAAAAUGAUUCGUCAGAGGAGUGCUCUAAUGACGAACAAGGCCGAGACAUAGACCUAGCCGGAAAAACCACCCAAUCGAUAUGAUUAUUGGCGAUAAAGCCGAUAUAGAGAAAUCCCAUUCGGCUAAGUUGUUCGAGUUAAAAGCCAAAAUCGGCGAAAUUAUUAUGCCCCGGGGGCAUACUAAUUGUUCAACCCAUUCGAUGGCCGAUGUUAAAAAAUCUUUUGUCAAGCCCACAUAUUUGGAGAUGAUUUUUUAUUCGGCUCAAUGCAAAAUUUGAUUGGCUAUGUUGAUAUACAAAGAUCUCGGCUUGGAAUAAAACAUCGUUGGCCUCCUCCUCUUUAUUAGUUCAGCCACUUUUCUUUUAUUAAGAACAGGAAUAAAUUAUUUUCUUAAUGAUCUUGCUAAUUAAGCCGAUACUUAAGAAAAUAAAAGGGGUAACAAGAUGGGGUGGAUUUAUAAAUAAAAAAUAAAAAAAAUUUGGCUGCCUAGGCCAAAGCUGAGAGUUAGGUAAAUGCUAUGGUGGCCAUAUAGGUGUUGGCAGAUUCAAAGUCUUGUAUUGCCGAGCUCGACGAGGUUGGUUAGCCUU
This 1052-nucleotide long non-coding RNA is filed under the name Malus domestica (apple). RNAcentral describes it as "long non-coding RNA (MDOM_LNC016695)". The record is from RNAcentral. Lineage: Eukaryota; Viridiplantae; Streptophyta; Magnoliopsida; Rosales; Rosaceae.